RNAcentral lists this unclassified non-coding RNA (387 nucleotides) under Hevea brasiliensis (rubber tree). Lineage: Eukaryota; Viridiplantae; Streptophyta; Magnoliopsida; Malpighiales; Euphorbiaceae. The record is from RNAcentral.
GAAAAUCGUAGAAACUACAAUAUUCAUAACAGCAUUUAGAAUAUUUUAUAUAUUUAUAUUUUAAUACUAUUUUUCACUAGGAUGAGAAUACUGAAUAGUGAAGUAAAUUAGGAAGUUUCCCGGUUGUAAUAUUAUGUGAUGUAUUUAUUAGUUAACCUAUAACACGAACAAUCCUAUCUUUUCAUCGUAUCAUGAGUUCAUGGAAGACCAAGAGAAGUAUUAAACUAACAUGGUAAUUUAGCUUUUGAAACAGCCUUGACAAGAGGAUCAUAAAUGAGAGCAGCAACGAGAAAAUCUUGAAAACUAUGAAAUAUACAUAUUGCAUCAUUAGACAUGUUUACUAGGUAAUCUCUAACAGCAGACAGUCCCAUAUUUAUCUCAUUUCCA